AAUUAGUCAUUCUUACCCUUGCUUACCUCACAGGGACAUGGGCCUGCCUUAUUUGGAGGAAGAAUUGCCGAAAUAUAUGGAGCCAUUCAAAGAUGGAUGAUGCCGAGCCUUGGAUGGUAACCAGGAAGACCAAUAAUGGAAAACACACUUGGAGAGGUGGUAUGUUAUGAAGAAACUUGGGAGUUGUUCAGCCAGCUUCCAGUUUGCUAUUCAUACAGCCAGCCGAGUAUGGAGGAGGCUGGGAGAUGAGUCUAUUCUAAAAUGGUAAGUCUGGGAGUUCCCAUUGUGGCUCAGUGGUAACCAAGCCAGCUAGUAUCCAUGAGGAUGCGGAUUUGAUCCCUGGCCUUGCUCAGUGGGUUAAGGAGCCAGUAUUGCCAUGAGCUGUGGUGUAGGUUGCAGAGGUGGUUGGGAUCUGCUGUUGCUGUGGCUGUGGUAUAGGGUCGCAGCUACAGCUCCAGUUGAACCCCUAGCCUAGGAACUUCGUAUGCAUGGUUGUGACCCUUAAAAAAAAAAAGAUAUGUCUGUUUCCCUGGUGAAUAUAUGUAACUAUGUUUUUGUCCAUUGAAAGGCAUCCCUGCAAUACAAGCCAUAGAAGUUUAGUA
This 602-nucleotide long non-coding RNA is filed under the name Sus scrofa (pig). Its description in RNAcentral is "lncRNA (ENSSSCG00055014891.1)". The record is from RNAcentral. Lineage: Eukaryota; Metazoa; Chordata; Mammalia; Artiodactyla; Suidae.